Molecule: ribosomal RNA, 173 nt
Filed under: uncultured bacterium
Lineage: Bacteria
Description: partial 16S ribosomal RNA
Rfam family: Bacterial small subunit ribosomal RNA
Source: RNAcentral
GGAAUUGCUAGUAAUGGCAGGUCAGCAUACUGCCGUGAAUACGUUCCCGGGCCCUUGUACACACCGCCCGUCACACCAUGAGAGUUGGAAAUACCCGAAGCCUGUGAGCUAACUUAAAGAGGCAGCAGUCGAAGGUAGAGCCAAUGAUUGGGGUGAAGUCGUAACAAGGUACC